Molecule: long non-coding RNA, 263 nt
Filed under: Manihot esculenta (cassava)
Lineage: Eukaryota; Viridiplantae; Streptophyta; Magnoliopsida; Malpighiales; Euphorbiaceae
Description: long non-coding RNA (MESC_LNC005227)
Source: RNAcentral
ACAGAUGAAGUAUUAGCAUUGGAAGCCAAUGAUUUCAGGAAGAGAGAGACAGGAUCACCGAAGUCGAAAUCAUGAAGCAACGCCUUCCUUCGUCAGAGUCAUGAAAGAAGACAUUGAGAAGAGCUCACUGGCCGUUGUCUUGUCUGGAAGAUCAACAAAGGAAGGAGACAGAAAAAUCCAAGAAUCUGAACGUCAAGAAAUAAGCUAAAACUCUUCACAUGACUAUAAUAUAUAAACUACCGAUUGAAGUAUAAUAGAUGAAG